UUGCUUUGGCAGCACAUACACUAAAAAUUGGAAUUAAACAGAAGAUUAGCAUGGCCCCUGCGGAAAGAUGACAUGCAAAUUCAUGAACUUUCCAUAUUGAA
Callithrix jacchus (white-tufted-ear marmoset) is the source of this 101-nucleotide small nuclear RNA. NCBI's taxonomy places the organism in Eukaryota, Metazoa, Chordata, Mammalia, Primates, Cebidae. The record is from Ensembl.